Long non-coding RNA from Astatotilapia calliptera (eastern happy), 329 nucleotides. NCBI's taxonomy places the organism in Eukaryota, Metazoa, Chordata, Actinopteri, Cichliformes, Cichlidae. The record is from Ensembl.
GGCAUCACUGCGACAAUUUCAGGCUUCAGGCUAACGUUCCUUUGCAGUAACACCCUUGAAAUCCAGCCUCCUGCAUGGCCCCUGCACCAUCUUGGAAAAAGAUCUCAGGGCCGUUGCUCCGGACCAGACGCCGGUCCCCUGAGAGCACUCAAAGGCAGCUCUCACAAAUUGAGCACCGACAGGCAGAAGCUGAGGUUGCGGUGAAGGAGGAGGGCACGGUCACCUGCACGUAAAUCUCUCCAAGUUCCCCUUUCAUGAGACCCGCUCGAAGAGAGCAACAACAAACAUGGUCAGAGGGUCGGGGAUAAAGCACAGACCUGCAGCUGGAC